This 5451-nucleotide long non-coding RNA is filed under the name Patiria miniata (bat star). Its description in RNAcentral is "uncharacterized LOC119728376". The record is from RNAcentral. Lineage: Eukaryota; Metazoa; Echinodermata; Asteroidea; Valvatida; Asterinidae.
AUAUUAAAUAUGAAAUAAAAAAAACACAUACUUUUCAUUUUAGUCUAACAUUCUUCAGUUGAAGUUUUCUUCGCUUAAUUAAUUUGAAAAGAAUCUUCUCUCCUUUCCAAAUGUUUUUCAAUCAUAUAGCGGGCCUAUAAUCAGGACUUUUAAUUUUUGUUCAUGAAACAUAUGCAUAUAUUCCUGACUACAGAUUAAUUAGUAAUUAAAAACCUCAAACAUUUCAAAAUUGAAGGAGUACCAUUUUUGUUUUAUAAUAAUUGGCUGCAUAAAAUUCAAAUUGUCUAAUUACUAAUUGGCUUUUCGGUCUAAUCCAGCAUGUCAAGCAAAGUCUUACAAAUGAAAAUUCUAGACGAAAAAUAAAUUAAAAUAUAUGGAAUCAGAGAAAGGCUCAGCAUGUAUUUUCAUGCUCAAUAUGCCCUGCUUAAGCCCUUAAAAAUGUAUAAAUUUUGUUCAAGAAGGGCAAAGGGACUUGCAGCUAGGCCCAUGGUACAGUUUGAAAGUGCAUGGGCCAACAAUCACUGUAAAAAGAAUUUCGCCUACCCUGCAAAACAUGUGCAAUAGGCACUCCGGAUCUUGCCAGUUUUUUUCUCAAUGGCAACCCACGUUUUGUGGGGAGUGUUCCUCACUCUCUGUGAUGGCACACAGUCGGCCUUCAAGAUGCAAAUAUUGUCCUCUGGUGACAGUUCAUGGAAAAAAAGUUCUUUUAGCCAGUCACUCUGAAAGUUACUGGAGGCUUUCCCCUCCUUGUAAUCCGACAGAAGUCUGUCCCUGAGAGUUUUUGGUCGUUUACUGGGCUGACAGACUGCCGGGGCAUUUGUGAGUAGCCAUUCGGCGAUCUCGAAGUAGGUCACGGGCGGCCAUUGCCGAAUGCCGUCUUUUUCUCCCACCCAGCCUUUCUUGAGUUCCGUAAGGGGGUCAGGAAUCUUUCUGCCGUCAAAAUAUAGAAGCUCCGAAUAGUUCUGGUUCAAAAUUAUUUCUUUGAUGAGUUCAUCGUCCUUCAGUGGCACGUUGAGUUGCAAGGCGGCGAAAACUAGCACUUGCAGUUCCUUCUUUCUUCCGGAAGUUUUCAGCCCUCUUAAUCUCAAAUAACUCCUUAAAGCAUUACAAUUCCCACAGUUCAAUAGCAUCUACAAUGUAGUGUCAAAGUGGAAGAACUGGACGAUGACAUUCACAUGUUUGAAGAGCACAAUACAGAAAAUCAUUCAAAAUAUCGCGACUUUUACAACGAGAAUAUGACAAAUUUGCAAAGACUAUACCACGAGAGCAACGUGUAAGCACACGCGUCGUCAAUGGCAGCCACUAUUAUUUAUCUCCUGUGACCUAUGACACGCUCCCAUAAUGCUUUGCGCGUGCGAGAUUCCGAAGUGGCUUAUUGCGGAGACGAUUCGCCUUUCCUUUUGCCUUUAUCUUUAAUAGACCACUGGUCUUAGUCACCUCAGGGACUAGCCAAAGCAAGCCCUGAGUAACUUUGCUUUUUACAGUUAUUCAUACCAAGAAAAUACUCGAACAUCUUUUCUAGCACUGCCAUGACACUAAUCUUUCAAUUAUUAUUCAACUGACUUUAACUUAAUAUGACCAUCAAACCUGUUUUCUUCCCCUUCUUAACAAUAUUAAGAAUCAAAGCAAAUUUGUUGUUAUAGUUAUCAGACAUAAUACAAGAUUUUAAAAUGUAGUUCUUUUUAAUAUUCACCCAUAAUUUCCACUCCUUCCCUUUGCCUUUUUAACGGUUCCCACCCACAGCCAGCAGCCCGUGGACGGCUUCAAGUGGGAUUUUUUAUUCAAUUUGGCAGCGAACUUGCCUCACCAGAUUUCUAGGUCUUCCUCCGGCGUUUUAUUCAAUUCAGAUUAUGGAAUUGAAAACCACUGGCCCGAGAAUCUUAAAGACAAGCACACAUAUUUUUGUUAACCUUUUUAAAACUUGUCAUACACAAUUUCUGUCACACUUAUUGCAGAGACGAUUUGUCUUUCCUUUUGGCCUCAUCUUAGACCACUCCUUGGCUGACAGACUGAUCGAAAACUUCCAUUUGCUUUUAAGAGCUGCGGCAUUAUGUGUAGGGGAGUUUUCACUUUCAUUAUGGUCAGUGCCAUUAGAUCUAUUUCUCUGGAAUUCACAGUCUAUGUUAUUUUCAUCCGAUGAAAACAUCAAGUCUUUGUCGACCACCUUGUCAUCAUCUGAUGCACACAUUCCUUCACUGGUUUUGUCGUUUACCGGCGCUGAACUGUCUUCCCACGAAGGGAUGGGUUUAAAGAAUGUCUUUGUAUCGAACCCUUCUGAUUAAAUUUUUUUCUUACAUUAAGUUGGACAAUAUCGGGUGGAAAAAAUUCUGGUCUCUUUUCUUUUUUUAACAAUUCUGGCAGUUCCACUGUCAAUAAUUGUCCCUGAUGUGCGUGAUGACAAAUUUCCUCGAUGUUGACGCAUUAUUAUUCCACCCCUGCUGAAGACUCGCUCGACAGGGGCACUGGUCGCUGGGACUGGGAGCACUUUUUGUGUCAGGGCGCUAAGGCCGGGGUACUUUGUAGUGUUGUUGUGCCAAAAUGUGAUGACGUCAUGUUGCAUAUCACUUUCUUCUUUUCUUAGAUAUCUUUCUAAUUUUGCACGAACAGUGACACUACUGGACUUAUCCCCACUUUUUGAUCGUUUGCGGAAGUUGCUAUACAUUGCCAGCAGCCGUGGCAUCUUCAUUGGUGGUGAGGUCCUCUUCACUUGAGGUCCUAAUCUAAAGUUAGAUCAAAGUGAAUAUUACACGCAGGACUUUACCAAACACGCAAUAUGUGACUAGUAUGGGGUACAGGUACUGGUUGCCCUGCAAACCAUGCAUUCAAUACACGUCUUUUGCUGACGGUAACCAGUGGCAAUAAUAAUUAUGUGGCUACGGCUAAUCACCAUUAUACAUGUAGCCCUGCAUACAAACACAAUCCAAAGUAUUGCUUCCUGCAAGUCCACCAAAUGGGGUUAUAUGAAAAUGUUUUAUUUAGCAAACUACUAAAUUCUUGAUACUCUAAUGACCAACAAUGAAUAAAGGAGCGCUCAAUAAAAAAUGAAUAAACAUUAAGAGAUGCACCAGGAUCCUGGAUUUGGGUCUACAGUCUUGCUCUACUGGCAAGAGACGUCCCAAGAGUUCCUCCAAAAACGGAUAACAGUUUCCCGGGUCAGUUCCAGACCAAGAGCUGUACUCCAGGUGCAACUAGCUAGGUUCACGAUGUGAAACUUUCGCUUGUUGUUCCGCCUCCUCCCGUCUCACCAUUUGUAAGAGCUUCAAGUAGGCAGGUGGAUCAUUCUUCAUAUCUUUGAGAUGCAGAUUAACAAACAGGAUUUCAUCAUACAAAAUUCCUCUCACAAACUGGGCCAGAAGCAGCGAAUUAACCUCCUCCCUCUUGGUGGAGCCCUUCCCCACCAACUUCCGCACUACUGCCUGGAGCCGGGUGAGGAACUCCGAGGGGGUUUCACCACACCCCCGAUGCAUAUAAUGAAACUGCACCCAAGCUCUUCGGGUGAGUCAGUGCUGCCAAAAAACUAGCUCUAGAGCUGCUAAGUAGUCUUCGGCUGUAGCCUCCGGCUGGUCCCGACGUAACUCUGUAAUUAUGGUAGCGGCAGGUGGACGGAGUGCUUCCCUCAAUCUUCGCCGCCUUUCCGCAUCCUCUGGUUCUUCUUCCAAUUGAUCCUGGACAAGCUCUAUUCAAGUGUCGAAGCUGUCCUCAUCCUUCAAGGGCACUUAGGCGCCUGAGAGUGGUCGCAGUUUUCGACUGCUGGAGAUACUGCAAGCUGUCAACGCCUUGGCCAGUGGCACUUCUGCUUGUUUCUCUCUUGCCUCUGGGGAAACAUCUGUGGAAAGAUCCCUGACCAAAACUCUACUUUUGAAUACAGUAGGGGCCAACAUCUGAAUUCAAAACUGAAAAUCAGAAUCAUCAACAUACAAGGUCAAGACCUCCGAUGGGGGGAGUACAACUUCCUUCACUUCCCUAUCAAACUCACACGGAAGGAGUGUCUUAUCACGCUCCUGUCUUGACACACCAACGAGAUGUCUGACCGUCUUUGCCAGGCUAAGAGUUACUGCCUCCGUGGACGCAUCAAGCACAUCAUUACCCACAAGAAGGAGAGCAUUACCUACUCGGAUGUCAUCCUUUUUACACCAGUCGCGCCCCAAGCGCAGCAGCUCUUUACCAUCAGCCAUGUUUCCUGCCUGCAAUCAGAUACACCACACUUAUAAUUGACAACAAAUCAAAACUCAAAUGACAAUACACCUGCAAUAAGAAGACUGAAAAAUAACGUUAAGUUUAGUGAUGGUGUGUUUUAGAGUUUUGUUUCUCUUCCUCAGUCAAAGGCAGGUUCUCGUUUACUUGGUAACUUUCUUUACCCAUCACUGAAAGCAGGGUAGCAACUCGAAUGGUGUCUGGUUUUCCUGUCAGUCCAAUUGCUAUUUCAUAGUUCUGCCAACUAUUUCUGAAAUACUGCCAGUUGCUGACUAUAUCGCCUUUCACAUCCAUCUUUGAUGGAGCCGGAAUCAGUGACUGUGCCAUAAUGACAACAAAGAAUCACGAUUGUCCUAUGCGUUUGUAAAUAUGGCCGUACGUGGCAAGUACAGGCCACCGUAGAUGACUGUCCAUGCGUGGUGAAAACUACCGGUGAAUACGGUCAACUUUUAGCGUUCCCAGCGACUGCCUACAUGAGUCACAGGGCAAAACAGUUGAUCCUAGCGAUGCUAUAGUCAAAGUUAGAAACAGUUUCUUACGUUUGGUGAGCUUUUUUCAUGGGUGGGCAGGGUUUUCAGGCCGACUUCUGACACCAUGUUUAUAUGCUCUAGAACACAUGGAACACAGGGAUGGCAGGGCUAAAACUAUGAUGCACUAUAAUUGCCAUGUGAUUUGACUAAUGCCAUAACUAUAUUUGUUUUGUCUGUUUAGAUUCUUGGUUUUUCAACUCAAAUCAUCCUCAAGGGCCCAAGAUUUACCAGAUGACAUGGUGGAGGAACUAAGACAGCAUUGUAUGUUCAGACGGCCGUACAGAUAUCAUUAAGGAGCUUUGGACAGAAGAGGACUAGUCUUUUAAGGGGUCAGCCAACUCCUCAGCGUACAUGUACGUCAACUGGUGGACAGGCAGUGGAAACUGGGCAUUGCCUGUCGGACGUCUGCUGGAGCCUCAAUUUCACCUUCGUGAAGAUGUCACUUAAGGUCGUCGAUCCUACAGAUGGUGAUCACUGACGAUGCUGGCUGAGUAUAAGAAUUUCUCAAAGCAAAUACCGGAGAUGGCAGCUACGCUGGAGAUGAUAUAACAAGCAACUUCUUGCCUGCUAACUUCCUAUUCUAACUUUAUCAUCAAUGUAUAAAUUCUUUUUUUCAGACAGUGGAUAUUUUGGGACUUUUUACCACAUUUGUCCAACUGAAAUAAAUUUGCUCACUUAAAAUGUUUAGACUUCAACAAAACGAAGGUAAUUCAGAUUUGUAACUCCC